GAUGAACGCUGGCGGCGUGCCUAAUACAUGCAAGUCGAGCGAAUGGAUUAAGAGCUUGCUCUUAUGAAGUUAGCGGCGGACGGGUGAGUAACACGUGGGUAACCUGCCCAUAAGACUGGGAUAACUCCGGGAAACCGGGGCUAAUACCGGAUAACAUUUUGAACCGCAUGGUUCGAAAUUGAAAGGCGGCUUCGGCUGUCACUUUUGGAUGGACCCGCGUCGCAUUAGCUAGUGGGGGAGGUAACGGCUCACAAAGGCAACGAUGCGUAGCCGACCUGAGAGGGUGAUCGGCCACGCUGGGACUGAGACACGGCCCAGACUCCUACGGGAGGCAGCAGUAGGGAAUCUUCCGCAAUGGACGAAAGUCUGACGGAGCAACGCCGCGUGAGUGAUGAAGGCUUUCGGGUCGUAAAACUCUGUUGUUAGGGAAGAACAAGUGCUAGUUGAAUAAGCUGGCACCUUGACGGUACCUAACCAGAAAGCCACGGCUAACUACGUGCCAGCCGCCGCCGUAA
This 515-nucleotide ribosomal RNA is filed under the name uncultured bacterium. RNAcentral describes it as "partial 16S ribosomal RNA". It matches the Rfam family "Bacterial small subunit ribosomal RNA", at positions 28 to 523 of the family's 1533-position model. The record is from RNAcentral.